AAAAUUAAACACAUAAGCUUUUUGAGUAAAAUAUCAAAAGUCCCAGAUUCCAUUUGAAAGAAGCACAAGAAGAUGAGAAACCUGACCAAGGUUCUGUUUACUGCUCAGUCUUAAACUAAAAUGCAUAAAAGUAUUUGAAGAAAAUAUUUUCAGUGAAUAAGGGAAACACUUACUAAUACAGACUGGAGUAUCAAACCAUAAACCACCGACACAUUUGCUUGUUCCCCACCAGCCUCCGCUUUCUACAUUGUAUUCAUCAUUGCAGGAAUAACUGAUCUUUGUUCCAUGAGGAUAUGAUUCCUGCAUCGGGAGAAGAAAACCUCCAUCCAGCUUUGGAGCGCUGCAAGGCUCAGUCCAGGAACCCAAAGCAGAAGAACUAAUUCAAGACACCUCAUCCCCAUGUUAUCAGGAAUCAAAA
This is a long non-coding RNA of Xiphophorus hellerii (green swordtail), 418 nucleotides long. RefSeq lists it as uncharacterized. The record is from RefSeq and is a predicted model, not a curated record. The transcript is spliced from 2 exons. Lineage: Eukaryota; Metazoa; Chordata; Actinopteri; Cyprinodontiformes; Poeciliidae.